GGCGUGCUUAACACAUGCAAGUCGAACGAUGAACCGGUUUCGGCCGGGGAUUAGUGGCGAACGGGUGAGUAACACGUGGGCAAUCUGCCCUGCACUCUGGGACAAGCCCUGGAAACGGGGUCUAAUACCGGAUAUGACUGCCGACCGCAUGGUCUGGUGGUGGAAAGCUCCGGCGGUGCAGGAUGAGCCCGCGGCCUAUCAGCUUGUUGGUGGGGUGAUGGCCUACCAAGGCGACGACGGGUAGCCGGCCUGAGAGGGCGACCGGCCACACUGGGACUGAGACACGGCCCAGACUCCUACGGGAGGCAGCAGUGGGGAAUAUUGCACAAUGGGCGCAAGCCUGAUGCAGCGACGCCGCGUGAGGGAUGACGGCCUUCGGGUUGUAAACCUCUUUCAGCAGGGAAGAAGCGCAAGUGACGGUACCUGCAGAAGAAGCGCCGGCUAACUACGUGCCAGCAGCCGCGGUAAUACGUAGGGCGCAAGCGUUGUCCGGAAUUAUUGGGCGUAAAGAGCUCGUAGGCGGCUUGUCGCGUCGGAUGUGAAAGCCCGGGGCUUAACUCCGGGUCUGCAUUCGAUACGGGCAGGCUAGAGUUCGGUAGGGGAGAUCGGAAUUCCUGGUGUAGCGGUGAAAUGCGCAGAUAUCAGGAGGAACACCGGUGGCGAAGGCGGAUCUCUGGGCCGAUACUGACGCUGAGGAGCGAAAGCGUGGGGAGC
This 714-nucleotide ribosomal RNA is filed under the name Streptomyces javensis. RNAcentral describes it as "bacterial SSU rRNA". It matches the Rfam family "Bacterial small subunit ribosomal RNA", at positions 41 to 769 of the family's 1533-position model. Lineage: Bacteria; Bacillati; Actinomycetota; Actinomycetes; Kitasatosporales; Streptomycetaceae. The record is from RNAcentral.